Molecule: non-coding RNA, 160 nt
Organism: Schistosoma haematobium
Lineage: Eukaryota; Metazoa; Platyhelminthes; Trematoda; Strigeidida; Schistosomatidae
Source: Rfam
AUGGUUACGCGUCUCCGGGUCGAGGGUGAUCAGGAAUGCUCUGACCCCAGGUGGAGGCUCACCAUUGCACCUCGGUGAGUUGAAACUCGCGACGAAACCUAAUCGGUUGUGCUCUGGCGUAUAGUUUUUGUCAGUGAGGAGGUCUCACAGCCCUCCCUUU